CGCCUCUCGACCUCUUCUUUGAAGUUCGUUUCGAUUCAAAUCUUCAAACCCAGAAAUCUCGUAUCAAUUCAUUCGAUUCAUGGCCUACGGCCGUUAAUCACUUAAUCUCAAGUGGAAUCAGUCUCUUUGAAGUGGAAUCUUGAUUUUUUACUUGUAUAUGAACAGGAGGACGAGGACUAAGAAGCAAAGUGACUGCACAACUGAAGG
Molecule: long non-coding RNA, 207 nt
Organism: Rosa chinensis
Lineage: Eukaryota; Viridiplantae; Streptophyta; Magnoliopsida; Rosales; Rosaceae
Exons: 3
Source: RefSeq, a predicted model, not a curated record